This 447-nucleotide ribosomal RNA is filed under the name uncultured bacterium. RNAcentral's name for it is "bacterial SSU rRNA". It matches the Rfam family "Bacterial small subunit ribosomal RNA", at positions 330 to 794 of the family's 1533-position model. The record is from RNAcentral.
ACCAGACUCCUACGGGAGGCAGCAGUCGGGGAUAUUGCGCAAUGGAGGAAACUCUGACGCAGUGACGCCGCGUGCAGGAAGAAGGUUUUCGGAUUGUAAACUUCUUUAGACAGGGAAGAUAAUGACAGUACCUGUAGAAUAAGCUCCGGCUAACUACGUGCCAGCAGCCGCGGUAAUACGUAGGGAGCAAGCGUUAUCCGGAUUUAUUGGGUGUAAAGGGUGCGUAGACGGGAAUGCAAGUUAGUUGUGAAAUCCCUCGGCUUAACUGAGGAACUGCAACUAAAACUACAUUUCUUGAGUGCUGGAGAGGAAAGUGGAAUUCCUAGUGUAGCGGUGAAAUGCGUAGAUAUUAGGAGGAACACCAGUGGCGAAGGCGACUUUCUGGACAGUAACUGACGUUGAGGCACGAAAGUGUGGGGAGCAAACAGGAUUAGAUACCCUAGUAGG